This 460-nucleotide ribosomal RNA is filed under the name uncultured bacterium. RNAcentral describes it as "partial 16S ribosomal RNA". It matches the Rfam family "Bacterial small subunit ribosomal RNA", at positions 338 to 795 of the family's 1533-position model. The record is from RNAcentral.
CCUACGGGUGGCAGCAGUGAGGAAUAUUGGUCAAUGGACGAGAGUCUGAACCAGCCAAGUAGCGUGAAGGAUGACUGCCCUAUGGGUUGUAAACUUCUUUUAUAUGGGAAUAAAAUGUUCCACGUGUGGGAUUUUGUAUGUACCAUAUGAAUAAGGAUCGGCUAAUUCCGUGCCAGCAGCCGCGGUAAUACGGAGGAUCCGAGCGUUAUCCGGAUUUAUUGGGUUUAAAGGGAGCGUAGGUGGAUUGUUAAGUCAGUUGUGAAAGUUUGCGGCUCAACCGUAAAAUUGCAGUUGAAACUGGCAGUCUUGAGUACAGGAGAGGUGGGCGGAAUUCGUGGUGUAGCGGUGAAAUGCUUAGAUAUGACGAAGAACUCCGAUUGCGAAGGCAGUUCACUGGACUGCAACUGACACUGAGGCUCGAAAGUGUGGGUAUCAAACAGGAUUAGAUACCCCAGUAGUC